This 1157-nucleotide ribosomal RNA is filed under the name Lacticaseibacillus rhamnosus. RNAcentral's name for it is "bacterial SSU rRNA". The record is from RNAcentral. Lineage: Bacteria; Bacillati; Bacillota; Bacilli; Lactobacillales; Lactobacillaceae.
CCGGGCCCAAAUUCUACGGGARGCAGCAGUAGGAAUCUUCCACAAUGGACGCAAGUCUGAUGGAGCAACGCCGCGUGAGUGAAGAAGGCUUUCGGGUCGUAAAACUCUGUUGUGGAGAAGAAUGGUCGGCAGAGUAACUGUUGUCGGCGUGACGGUAUCCAACCAGAAAGCCACGGCUAACUACGUGCCAGCAGCCGCGGUAAUACGUAGGUGGCAAGCGUUAUCCGGAUUUAUUGGGCGUAAAGCGAGCGCAGGCGGUUUUUUAAGUCUGAUGUGAAAGCCCUCGGCUUAACCGAGGAAGUGCAUCGGAAACUGGGAAACUUGAGUGCAGAAGAGGACAGUGGAACUCCAUGUGUAGCGGUGAAAUGCGUAGAUAUAUGGAAGAACACCAGUGGCGAAGGCGGCUGUCUGGUCUGUAACUGACGCUGAGGCUCGAAAGCAUGGGUAGCGAACAGGAUUAGAUACCCUGGUAGUCCAUGCCGUAAACGAUGAAUGCUAGGUGUUGGAGGGUUUCCGCCCUUCAGUGCCGCAGCUAACGCAUUAAGCAUUCCGCCUGGGGAGUACGACCGCAAGGUUGAAACUCAAAGGAAUUGACGGGGGCCCGCACAAGCGGUGGAGCAUGUGGUUUAAUUCGAAGCAACGCGAAGAACCUUACCAGGUCUUGACAUCUUUUGAUCACCUGAGAGAUCAGGUUUCCCCUUCGGGGGCAAAAUGACAGGUGGUGCAUGGUUGUCGUCAGCUCGUGUCGUGAGAUGUUGGGUUAAGUCCCGCAACGAGCGCAACCCUUAUGACUAGUUGCCAGCAUUUAGUUGGGCACUCURGUAAGACUGCCGGUGACAAACCGGAGGAAGGUGGGGAUGACGUCAAAUCAUCAUGCCCCUUAUGACCUGGGCUACACACGUGCUACAAUGGAUGGUACAACGAGUUGCGAGACCGCGAGGUCAAGCUAAUCUCUUAAAGCCAUUCUCAGUUCGGACUGUAGGCUGCAACUCGCCUACACGAAGUCGGAAUCGCUAGUAAUCGCGGAUCAGCACGCCGCGGUGAAUACGUUCCCGGGCCUUGUACACACCGCCCGUCACACCAUGAGAGUUUGUAACACCCGAAGCCGGUGGCGUAACCCUUUUAGGGAGCGAGCCGUCUAAGGUGGACAAAUGGGG